GUAGUUCUCCUCUCCUCGUUCAGAGCAGUAGGCAGUUUCGCUUCAGACUUGAUACAGUCUCUCCUCAUCCAAGUCUCACAGUCUUGUUCUUGCAAAAUAUCUGCAGCAAUGGCACAAUUUGGCCAUCUGGUGACAGUGUUGAGCCUAUGCCUGCUGGCUGCUGUGGUGAACGCUCAACAGAACACCCCCCCACCUCCUCCUCGUCUGGGACAAGAGAUCUGCACACACUACACUCAGGGUGGGACCCUCCUUCUGGAUGGGCCAAAGGUCUUUGAAAUGAUGCUGAUUGAGUUUGGACGGGCAAUCCAGGUCUGUAUACAUGCAGUUUUCUUAAAGGGAUAGUUCACCCAAAAAAGAAAAUUAUGCCAUUAAUUACUCACCCUCAUGUCGUUCCAAAUCUGUAAGACCUUCGUUCAUCUUUGGAACACAAAUUAAGAUAUUUUUGAUGAAAUCCGAGAGUUUUCUGACCCUGCAUAGAC
This 479-nucleotide long non-coding RNA is filed under the name Sinocyclocheilus grahami. RNAcentral's name for it is "lncRNA (ENSSGRG00000039880.1)". The record is from RNAcentral. Lineage: Eukaryota; Metazoa; Chordata; Actinopteri; Cypriniformes; Cyprinidae.